Molecule: ribosomal RNA, 533 nt
Filed under: Kyklioacalles solarii
Lineage: Eukaryota; Metazoa; Arthropoda; Insecta; Coleoptera; Curculionidae
Description: partial 16S ribosomal RNA
Rfam family: Bacterial large subunit ribosomal RNA
Source: RNAcentral
GGCCUUUUGAGUAUGAUUUAAGGUCUAGCCUGCCCAAUGAUGUAAAUUAAAUGGCCGCAGUAUUCUGACUGUGCAAAGGUAGCAUAAUCAUUAGUUUUUUAAUUGAAAGCUUGUAUGAAAGGUUUGAUGAGAGAAAAGCUGUCUCUGUUUAAAAUUUUAGAAAUUUAUUUUUAAGUAAAAAAGCUUAAAUAUUUAUUGAAGACGAGAAGACCCUAUAGAGUUUGAUUUAUAUAAUAAUAUAUAAAAUUUAGUAUUUAAGGUUUUAUUUUUAUAUGAAUUUGGUUGGGGCGAUUAAAAAAUUUAUAUAACUUUUUUUGUAUCUAAACAUUUAUUUAUGAGUUUUUGAUCCUUUAUUAGAUUAUAAGAUAAAAUUACCUUAGGGAUAACAGCGUAAUUUUCUUUAGAGUUCUUAUUGAAGAGAAAGAUUGCGACCUCGAUGUUGGAUUAAAAUUAAAUUUUUGGUGUAGAAGCUAAAAAAUUAGGUCUGUUCGACCUUUAAAUUUUUACAUGAUCUGAGUUUAAACCGGCGUAAG